GCCGCCAUGGUGAAACGGUAGACACGCUGCUCUUAGGAAGCAGUGCUAGAGCAUCUCGGUUCGAGUCCGAGUGGCGGCA
RNAcentral lists this transfer RNA (79 nucleotides) under Stemona tuberosa. RNAcentral describes it as "tRNA-Leu". It matches the Rfam family "tRNA". Rfam says of the family: Transfer RNA (tRNA) molecules are approximately 80 nucleotides in length. Their secondary structure includes four short double-helical elements and three loops (D, anti-codon, and T loops). The record is from RNAcentral. Lineage: Eukaryota; Viridiplantae; Streptophyta; Magnoliopsida; Pandanales; Stemonaceae.